Molecule: ribosomal RNA, 552 nt
Filed under: Triticum aestivum (bread wheat)
Lineage: Eukaryota; Viridiplantae; Streptophyta; Magnoliopsida; Poales; Poaceae
Description: partial small subunit ribosomal RNA
Source: RNAcentral
AUGGAAGAGUUUGUAGGUGACGCAAGGAACGUAUGGUUUGGUCUAAGCGAAGAUGGCAUUAAUCCUUUUGGGGAGCAGAGCAACAACCAUAACACCUGGCCUGUUACUCUAUGUUUGUAUAACCUUCGUCCAUGGUUGUGCAUGAAGCGGAAGUUCAUUAUAUUGUCAGUGCUCAUCCAAGGCCCUAAGCAACCCGACAACAACAUUGAUAUGUACCUAAGGCCAUUAGUUGAAGAACUGUUACAGUUGUGGAAUGGAGGUGUAUGUGCGUGGGAUGAGCACAAACAGGAAGAAUUUGACCUAAAGGUGUUGUUGUUCAUGACCAUCAAUGAUUGGCAUGCUCUCAGUAACCUUUUAGGACAGACAAACAAGGGAUACUGCGGAUGCACACACUGUUUGGAUGAUACCGAUAGUAUAUAUUUGGGUAAUUGUAGGAAGAAUGUGUACCUGGGACAUCGUCGAUUUCUUCCAAGCAGGCAUCCCGUAAGAAAGGCAAGCAUUUCAAUGGUGAGGCGAUCACCGGACGAAACCUCGCCACCGUACUAUUGUUGA